UACGUAGGGUGCAAGCGUUGUCCGGAAUUAUUGGGCGUAAAGAGCUCGUAGGCGGUUUGUCACGUCGGGAGUGAAAACUCGGGGCUCAUCCCCGAGCCUGCUUCCGAUACGGGCAGACCAGAGGUAUGCAGGGGAGAAUGGAAUUCCUGGUGUAGCGGUGAAAUGCGCAGAUAUCAGGAGGAACACCGAUGGCGAAGGCAGGUCUCUGGGCCACUACUGACGCUGAGAAGCGAAAGCAUGGGGAGCGAACAGG
This 253-nucleotide ribosomal RNA is filed under the name uncultured bacterium. RNAcentral's name for it is "partial 16S ribosomal RNA". It matches the Rfam family "Bacterial small subunit ribosomal RNA", at positions 524 to 776 of the family's 1533-position model. The record is from RNAcentral.